UUCUACGGCCAUGCUACUCUGAACAAGCCCGAUCCCGUCUGAUCUCGAAAGCUAAGCAGGGUUGGACCUGCUUAGUACUUGGAGGGGAGACCACCUAGAAAGACCAGGUGCUCUAAGUG
Pteropus vampyrus (large flying fox) is the source of this 119-nucleotide ribosomal RNA. The record is from Ensembl. Lineage: Eukaryota; Metazoa; Chordata; Mammalia; Chiroptera; Pteropodidae.